RNAcentral lists this ribosomal RNA (253 nucleotides) under uncultured bacterium. Its description in RNAcentral is "partial 16S ribosomal RNA". It matches the Rfam family "Bacterial small subunit ribosomal RNA", at positions 524 to 776 of the family's 1533-position model. The record is from RNAcentral.
UACGGGGGGGGCAAGCGUUGUUCGGAAUUACUGGGCGUAAAGGGCUCGUAGGCGGCCAACUAAGUCAGACGUGAAAUCCCUCGGCUUAACCGGGGAACUGCAUCUGAUACUGGAUGGCUUGAGUUCGGGAGAGGGAUGCGGAAUUCCAGGUGUAGCGGUGAAAUGCGUAGAUAUCUGGAGGAACACCGGUGGCGAAGGCGGGUCUCUGGGCAGUAACUGACGCUGAGGAGCGAAAGCGUGGGGAGCGAACAGG